UCCCUGGCUCAGGAUGAACGCCGGCGGCGUGCUUAACACAUGCAAGUCGAACGAUGAUCCCAGCUUGCUGGGGGAUUAGUGGCGAACGGGUGAGUAACACGUGAGUAACCUGCCCUUAACUCUGGGAUAAGCCUGGGAAACUGGGUCUAAUACCGGAUAUGACUCCUCAUCGCAUGGUGGGGGGUGGAAAGCUUUAUUGUGGUUUUGGAUGGACUCGCGGCCUAUCAGCUUGUUGGUGAGGGUAAUGGCUCACCAAGGCGACGACGGGUAGCCGGCCUGAGAGGGUGACCGGCCACACUGGGACUGAGACACGGCCCAGACUCCUACGGGAGGCAGCAGUGGGGAAUAUUGCACAAUGGGCGAAAGCCUGAUGCAGCGACGCCGCGUGAGGGAUGACGGCCUUCGGGUUGUAAACCUCUUUCAGUAGGGAAGAAGCGAAAGUGACGGUACCUGCAGAAGAAGCGCCGGC
RNAcentral lists this ribosomal RNA (469 nucleotides) under Micrococcineae bacterium CL2.26. RNAcentral describes it as "bacterial SSU rRNA". It matches the Rfam family "Bacterial small subunit ribosomal RNA", at positions 16 to 497 of the family's 1533-position model. The record is from RNAcentral. Lineage: Bacteria; Bacillati; Actinomycetota; Actinomycetes; Micrococcales.